UGGAAAUCAUUGUGCCUAUCAUUGGGAAGGCUAUAGCUAAAACGAUACUACUGGUUGGUAAGUUUGUAGAGAAGGUGGAGGGGACAGCAGUUGAGAGGGGAGCAUUUUGUUUCAUCAAUUCUUUUGUGUUGUAAACAACUAACAUUGGGAAGACUAUAGCUGAAAUGAUACCACUGGGAAAAAUUCUUUUGUUUCUAAUGACUCUAUAAGUGUUUUAGCAAG
Molecule: long non-coding RNA, 222 nt
Filed under: Coffea arabica (coffee)
Lineage: Eukaryota; Viridiplantae; Streptophyta; Magnoliopsida; Gentianales; Rubiaceae
Description: long non-coding RNA (CARA_LNC003437)
Source: RNAcentral